GAGGCAGCAGUAGGGAAUCUUCCGCAAUGGACGAAAGUCUGACGGAGCAACGCCGCGUGAGUGAUGAAGGUUUUCGGAUCGUAAAGCUCUGUUGUUAGGGAAGAACAAGUGCGAGAGUAACUGCUCGCACCUUGACGGUACCUAACCAGAAAGCCACGGCUAACUACGUGCCAGCAGCCGCGGUAAUACGUAGGUGGCAAGCGUUGUCCGGAAUUAUUGGGCGUAAAGGGCUCGCAGGCGGUUUCUUAAGUCUGAUGUGAAAGCCCCCGGCUCAACCGGGGAGGGUCAUUGGAAACUGGGAAACUUGAGUGCAGAAGAGGAGAGUGGAAUUCCACGUGUAGCGGUGAAAUGCGUAGAGAUGUGGAGGAACACCAGUGGCGAAGGCGACUCUCUGGUCUGUAACUGACGCUGAGGAGCGAAAGCGUGGGGAGCGAACAGGAUUAGAUACCCUGGUAGUCCACGCCGUAAACGAUGAGUGCUAAGUGUUAGGGGGUUUCCGCCCCUUAGUGCUGCAGCUAACGCAUUAAGCACUCCGCCUGGGGAGUACGGUCGCAAGACUGAAACUCAAAGGAAUUGACGGGGGCCCGCACAAGCGGUGGAGCAUGUGGUUUAAUUCGAAGCAACGCGAAGAACCUUACCAGGUCUUGACAUCCUCUGACAACCCUAGAGAUAGGGCUUCCCUCGGG
Molecule: ribosomal RNA, 686 nt
Filed under: Bacillus sp. (in: firmicutes)
Lineage: Bacteria; Bacillati; Bacillota; Bacilli; Caryophanales; Bacillaceae
Description: bacterial SSU rRNA
Rfam family: Bacterial small subunit ribosomal RNA
Source: RNAcentral